This 399-nucleotide ribosomal RNA is filed under the name uncultured bacterium. Its description in RNAcentral is "bacterial SSU rRNA". It matches the Rfam family "Bacterial small subunit ribosomal RNA", at positions 28 to 424 of the family's 1533-position model. The record is from RNAcentral.
GAUGAACGCUAGCGGGAGGCUUAAUACAUGCAAGUCGUACGGUAACAGGUGUAGCAAUACAUGCUGACGAGUGGCGCACGGGUGAGGAACACGUACGCAAUCUGCCUCUGACUAGGAGAUAGCCCUGGGAAACUAGGAUUAAUACCCCAUAACAUCACGGUGUGGCAUCACAUUGUGAUUAAACCUCCGGGGGUCAGAGAUGAGCGUGCGUUUGANAGGUAGUUGGCGGGGUAACGGCCCACCAAGCCUGCGAUCAAUAGCUGGCGUGAGAGCGCGACCAGCCACACGGGAACUGAGACACGGUCCCGACUCCUACGGGAGGCAGCAGUAGGGAAUAUUGGACAAUGGCUGAAAAGCUGAUCCAGCCAUCCCGCGUGAAGGCAGAAGGUCCUAUGGAUU